This 186-nucleotide ribosomal RNA is filed under the name uncultured bacterium. RNAcentral describes it as "partial 16S ribosomal RNA". It matches the Rfam family "Bacterial small subunit ribosomal RNA", at positions 1315 to 1500 of the family's 1533-position model. The record is from RNAcentral.
CCUGCAUGAAGUCGGAAUUGCUAGUAAUCGCAGAUCAGCAUGCUGCGGUGAAUACGUUCCCGGGCCUUGUACACACCGCCCGUCACACCAUGGGAGUCGGUAACACCCGAAGCCUGUAGUCUAACCGCAAGGAGGACGCAGUCGAAGGUGGGAUUGAUGACUGGGGUGAAGUCGUAACAAGGUACC